UGUCGGACGUUACCAAACUGUUGCCUCGGCGGGGUCACGCCCCGGGUGCGUCGCAGCCCCGGAACCAGGCGCCCGCCGGAGGAACCAACCAAACUCUUUCUGUAGUCCCCUCGCGGACGUAUUUCUUACAGCUCUGAGCAAAAAUUCAAAAUGAAUCAAAACUUUCAACAACGGAUCUCUUGGUUCUGGCAUCGAUGAAGAACGCAGCGAAAUGCGAUAAGUAAUGUGAAUUGCAGAAUUCAGUGAAUCAUCGAAUCUUUGAACGCACAUUGCGCCCGCCAGUAUUCUGGCGGGCAUGCCUGUCCGAGCGUCAUUUCAACCCUCGAACCCCUCCGGGGGAUCGGCGUUGGGGAUCGGGACCCCUCACACGGGUGCCGGCCCCGAAAUACAGUGGCGGUCUCGCCGCAGCCUCUCCUGCGCAGUAGUUUGCACAACUCGCACCGGGAGCGCGGCGCGUCCACGUCCGUAAAACACCCAACUUUCUGAAAUGUUGACCUCGGAUCAGGUAGGAAUACCCGCUGAACUUAAGCAUAUCUA
RNAcentral lists this ribosomal RNA (537 nucleotides) under Trichoderma asperellum. Its description in RNAcentral is "eukaryotic LSU rRNA". The stretch from base 160 to 313 matches the Rfam family "5.8S ribosomal RNA". Lineage: Eukaryota; Fungi; Ascomycota; Sordariomycetes; Hypocreales; Hypocreaceae. The record is from RNAcentral.